ACGGGGAGCAGCCCGGAGUCUGAAUCAGCUUGUGUGUUAGUGGAACGGUCUGGAAAGUCCGACGGUACAGGGUGAUAGUCCCGUACACGAAAAUGCACAGGUUGUGAACUCGAAGAGUAGGGCGGGACACGUGGUAUCCUGUCUGAAUAUGGGGGGACCAUCCUCCAAGGCUAAAUACUCCUGACUGACCGAUAGUGAACC
RNAcentral lists this ribosomal RNA (201 nucleotides) under Enterobacter hormaechei. RNAcentral describes it as "partial 23S ribosomal RNA". It matches the Rfam family "Bacterial large subunit ribosomal RNA", at positions 290 to 496 of the family's 2925-position model. Lineage: Bacteria; Pseudomonadati; Pseudomonadota; Gammaproteobacteria; Enterobacterales; Enterobacteriaceae. The record is from RNAcentral.